ACUGGGGCGCUACGGUUCCUGGAGCUGGGCAGUCUUCUCGUCAGAGUGGGGACUGGUAAGAGCGACCUCCCCGCCAGGUCCUGUGUGUUGCCGGCUGAAGAAGGGAUGAUGAUUAUUCCCCACCUUCUAAGAGACAAAGACCAACGAGCCACCACAGCCACCAGUCCCAGAACCCGCCAAUGCUGGGGAAUGGAAAAUGAGGGAGUUCAACUCUGGCCCUCACAAUCCAGUGGAGGAGACGAAACUCAUCUGCCUCUGUCCCUCUGGGCACACCUCAUGCCAGGUGCAUCUGUGGACAGGGGCCAUGCUCCUGGGCUUCCAAAGUUGGAGAAAGCUGCCAGGCUCAGACCCACCUAAGCUGAAGAUUCCCUUGAGAACAAGUACUGUCCUGUGGUUUCAUGGCCUUUCUUCCAUUUGUGGUUCUUGCGAAGUGGAAUUUAAAUGACAUCUUAUCAAGAUGGAUAAACCCUAGUUUCCCAGUGCUGGAAUAUAGAAAAUGGAUGGACAACUGGACCUACCAUGAAAGACUUCUGAAUCCAGGAAGAGAAACUGACUGGGCAACAUGUUAUUCAGAGAUGGGACCUCAGUAUGUUGCCGCGGCUGACCUUGAACUCCUGCACUCAAGGGAUUUUCCUGCCCUGGCCUCCCAAAGUAUUGGUAUUACAGGCAUGAGCCAUUGUGCCCACCGUCUCUGGUUCUUAACCUUCUGCCUCCCUCUUCCAGUUUUAAAGAAUGCUUGUAAUUACAUGGGCUCUCCUAGAUACUCCAGGAUAAUCUUGUUUUAAGGUCAGCUGAUGAGCAACAUUAAUUUUAUCUGCACUCUUAAUUCCCCCUUCCUAUGUAAUUGUGCUGUGUAACAUAGGACAUGAGCAAUUGGUGGCGGUGGGGGUUAUUACUUUGGCCACCACAGUAACUAUUUUAUGCCAGGUACUCAGCUAAGCACUGGUGAAUUAAGCAUGAAUAACACACACUCCCUAAUCUCCAUCCAUUCAUGGGAGGAGCACCUCACCUGCCAUGCUCCUGAGAAUCUCGGGAGUCAGAGAAGUCUUCUAUGAGGAGGUGAUGCCAAAGCGGACAAGUGACAGAGGAGUCGAAGCUAGCUAGGAAGAGAGUAGAGGUUUAAGGGGAAGCAUAGUAUAAGCAGAGGAUAUUACCCACUUCAGAGACUCCCAGAGGAGAAAGAGUGUGCGUUGAAGGGGCAGAUGAGGCUCAGUUGGACUCCAUAGCAGAUGAAAUGGAGAGGGGCAAGCAGUGAGGCUGCCUUGCAAGGCAGGGCAGAGCAGGGGCUGUUAAGGAGUUUGGACUUAAUCCCUGAGGCAAGGAGAAGUGAUGUAAAUGGGGGAGUAACAUGAUGAGAUUCAUGGAUUAGAGACAUGGCUCAGGCUGCUGUAGAGAAGGCGCCAGGGAGAGCAGAUGGCUCAAUGGGUGUGCAGGAGACCUCUCACUGAGUUUAGGGAGAGGUUUUUAAAACAGAAGAAGUUUGAGUAAUUUAAAUGAUGAUGGGAAGGAGCUAAAAGUGGGGGAUAGGUUAAAGAUACAGGAAAGUGGGAGGAAGAACUGACAAGUGAGGUUCCAGAGAGGGCAGGAGAAGAGGAGAUUCCCAUAGGGGGAUUAACACUUUCUUUUCUUUUUUCUUUCUAAGACAGGGUCUCACUCUGUCGCCCAGGCUGGAGUACAGUGGCACAAUCUUGGCUCACUGUAGUGUAGACUUCCCAGGCUCAAGGGAUUUCUCCCACCCCAGACUCCCAAGUAGCUGGAACUACGGGUGUGCACCACCACCACACCUGGCUAAUGUUUCUUUUUUUGGUAGACACAGAGUCUCACUAUUUAGCACUGAUUGGUCUCCAACUCCUGACCUCAAGCGAUCCUCCUGCCUAGGCUUCCCAAAUUGCUGGGAUUACAGGCAUGAGCCACAAUGCCUGGCCUCUGCUAGUUCCGUACUCUCUAGAGUUGUCUUUACUUUGUGCUAGCGUGUCCCUCAUUGUGCUGAUCCUCUGUAAAAAUUAAUACCUUUUUUUUUUUUUCGAGACAGAGUUUCACUCUUGUUGCCCAGGCUGGAGUGCAAUGGCGCUAUCUCGGCUCAGCGCAACCUCCACCUGCCGGGUUCAAGCAAUUCUCCUGCCUCAGCCUCCCGAGUAGUUGGGAUUACAGGCAUGUGCCACCAUGCCCAGCUAAUUUUGUAUUUUUAGUAGAGAUGGGGUUUCUCCAUGCUGGUCAGGCUGGUCUCGAACUCCUGACCUGAGGUGAUCUGUCUGCCUUGGCCUCCCAAAGUGCUGGGAUUACAGGCAUGAGCCAUUGUGCCUGGCCAAAAUUAAUACUUUUUAUAUUAAAUUUACAUAUAUAUAUGUUUUUUCUUUUUGAUACCGGGUCUCACACUGUCACCCAGGCUGGAGUACAGUGGCACAACCUCUGCUCACUGCAGCCUCCACCUGCCAGGCUCAAGCAAUUCUCCUGCCUCAGCCUCCCGAGUAGCUGGGAUUACAGGUAAGUGCCACCACACCCAGCUGAUUUUUGUGUUUUUUGUAGAGACGAGGUUUCACCAUGUUUCCCAGACUGUUCUCAAACUCCUGAGCUCAAAGCAGUCCACCCACCUUGGCCUCCCAAAGUGCUGGGAUUACAGGUGUGAGCCAUCUUGCUCAUUCUAGUUUAAACUUUUGAGUGGUUUGUGUCUCCUGAUUGGACUCCUACAAAUACAGAAUUGAUGCUAGGAAGGGUACCAGGAGAUAGAUGCACACAGAUGGGAUUUGGGAAUAGGUUUGGUUAUCCAAGGAGCAGUGCUGAGCUCCUUGCUAAUGGGAUAUGGGAUGCUGGUGAUUUCCAGGAAGUGACCUCACAAUGACUCAAGCUACCACAUACUGUUGAUUGUGAAAUGCCAGUUGAAGCAUAUGUCCUGCGAGCUUAGGGGUGCUACAAGUUGACCACUGCAGCAGUAAAGAUGACUCUGAAGAAUGGCAUGGGAUGGAUCCUUUCGAAUGCACUUGAGCAGCAGUCUCCAACCACAGGGCCACAGAGCUGGAGCUGGAUCUACCAUGAAAGACUUCUGAAUCCAGGAAGAGAGACUGACUGGGCAACAUGUUAUUCAGGGUCUCCCUCUGUUGUCCAAGGCUGGAGUGUAGUAGUGCUAUCACAGCUGACUGCAGCCUCAACCUUCCAGGCUGAAGUGAUUCUCCCAUCUCAACCUCCCACGUGGCUGAGACUACAGGUGCUUGCCACCAUGCCCAACUAAUAUUUGGAAUUUUCAUAUAAGUGGAUUCCAGAGGGGUGACAGCAAAACGUGGGACCAUCCAGUUGCAGGAAAACAAGCUUAACACGCCCACUGAUUUUACAUUAUGCUCCUACCACCCGGCAGCCUCUCCAGGCCCAGAACUUUCUCCAGUCAGCCUCUACAGACCAAGCUCAUGACUCACAAUGGCCUAUUUAGGCCCAUACCCUACCUCACGGCAGUCUCCGCAGAUGAGCCUACUGCCUCACAACAGCCUCCACAGGCACAGCUCCAUCAUUACAAUGGCCUCUUUAGACCCAGCUCCUGCCUCCCAGCCUUCUCUCCAGGCCCUGAACUUUCUGAAGUCGACCUCACCAGGCCCAGCUCAUGCUUCUUUGCAGCCUCUCCAGGCCCAGCUCCUGCAUCUUGGUGGCCCCUCCAGGCCCAGCCUCUGCCUCCCGUCGGCCUCUACAGUCCCAACAUCUGCCUCAUAGCAGAUUCUUGAGGCCCAGCAUCUGCCUCACUGUGGACCCCCCAAGCCAAGCUCCCAACCUUUCAGCAGCUUCUACACACCCAGCUCCUGCCACCCAGUGGCCUCUUUAGGCCAAGCUCAUGCUUCACAAGGGCCUUUCCAGGCCCAACUUUCGUCUCAUGGCAACCUUCCCUGGCCAGAUUCCUGCGUGUCUCCCAGCAGCCUAGACAGGCCCAGGUCUUGCCUCACACUGGCCUCUCUACAUCCAGCUCAUGCCUCACGGUGACCUCUCCAGGCACAGCUCCUGUCCCAGAACGUCAUCUCCGGGCCCAAAACUUACUCAAGUCAGCCUCUCUAGUCCCAACUGCUGCCUCCUGGUGGCCUAUGAAGGCCCAAAAUCUCCUCAAGUUGACCUCUCCCGGCCCAGCUCCUGCCUCCUGUCAGCAUCUACAGGCCCAACCUCUGCCUCAUGGGGGCUUCUCCGGGCCCAGCUCUUCCUAUUGGCUGAGUCUACAGGCACAACUGCUGCCUCACAACAGCCUUUUUUGGCCCAGUUCCUGUCCAGUUCAUGGCGGCCAAUGUAGGCCCAAAACUUCCUCAGGUCAUACUCUCCAGGCCCACCUUCUGCUUCCUGGUGGCAUGAACAGGCCCAGCUUUGACUUGAGAACAGCCUCUGCAGGCCCUGCUCUUGCCUCCCAGGGGCUUUUCCAAGCCCAGCUCUUGCCUCAUGGCAGCUGCCCCAGGCCAAAUUUCUUCCUGCCUGCCAGCAGCCUCAACAGGCACAGCUCCUCCCUCACAGUGGCCCAUUUAGGCCCCACUCAUGACUGUCGGGCCAUUUCCAGGCCUAGUGCCUGCCUCCUGGCUGACUCUUUCUUGAAGCCCAAAACUUCCUCAAAUCAGCCUUUUGCCUAACUUCUGUCUACUGUCGGACUCUACAGGCCAGCCUCUGCCUCACAGUGGACCCUCCAGACCCAGAUGGUGUCUCACUGUGGCAUCCUCAGGCGAAGCUCCUGCCUUUCGGCAGCCUCUACAGGCCCAGCUCCUGCCUUGCAGUGGCCUCUUUAGGCCAAGCUCAUGCCGCAUGGCGACUUUUCCAGGCACAGCUUUUGCCUUUUGCAGCCUGUCCAGGCCCAGAAUGUCCUUAACUCGGCAUCUCCAGGACGAGCUUAUCCUCCCAGUGCGUCUACAGGCCCGUCUCCUGCCUCACAACAACCUCUUUUGGCCCAACUCCUGCUGAGCUGCUGGCAGCCUCUGUAGGCCACAGACUUCUUAAAGUAAAGCUUUCCAGCCACCUUCGGCCUCCCAGCAGCCUCAGCAAUCAAACUAUUCCCUCACUGCGGCCACCGAAAGCCAAGUUUCUCCCUGCCUCAUGGCAUCCUCCGAAAACUGAGCAUUUGCCUCACGGUGGCCUCCCCAGGCCACGAAUCUGCCUGCCUCCCAGGCAGGUGCUGCCUCACAAUGGUCUCUUUAGGCCCAGCUCAUGCUAAAAGAUGGACUCUCCAGGUACAGCUCUUGCCUCCUGGCAGCCUCUGCAGGCCCAAAUUCUCCAAAAGUUGGCCUCUCCUAACUCAGCUCCUGCCUCAUGUCGGCCUACACAGGCCCAGACUCUUACCACACAGUAGACCCUCCAGGCCCACCACUUGCCUGAUCAUAGCCUCCUAAGGCCAAGCUCCUGCCUUUCAGCAGCCUCUACAGGCCCAGCUCCUGCCUCGCAAUUGCCUUUGUAGGCCAAGAUCAUGCCGCGAAGUGGCCUUUCCUAGCCUAACUUUUGCUUUUUGACGCAUACUCCAGUCCCAAAACUUCCUCCAGUCAGCCGGUCCAGGCCAAGCUCUUCCUCCCAAAGGCUUCUGCAGGCCAAAAUCAUCCUGAAGUCACCCUCUGCAGGCCCAGCUCCUGCCUCCAAGUGCUGUGUAGGCCAAGCUAAUGCCUCACAGCACACUUUCCAGGCUGAGCGUUUCCUUUUGUGCAUCCUCUCCAAGCCCUGAACUUACUCCACUUGGCCUCUCCAGACCAAGCUCUCCCUCCCAGUGGCCUCUACAGGCCAAAAUUGUCCUCAGGUCUGCCUCUCCAGGGCCACCUCUUAGCUACCAGUGGCUUCUGCUGGCCAAAAUCGACCUCAAGUCAGCCUCUUCACACCCAGCUCUUGCCUCUGAGUGGCCUCUCCAGGAGCAAAACUUUCUCAAGUCGGCCUCUCCAGGCCCAGCCUCCUGCUUCCCGAGGGCAUGUACAGGCCCAGCCUCUGCCUCACAGCAGACUCUCCACACCCAGCUCUUCCCUGUCUGCGGCCUCUCCAGUCCAAAGCUGCUGCUGCCUUUUGGCAGCUUGUACAGGCUCAGCUCCUCCCUCACGGUGGCCUCUUUCAGCCCAACUCAUGCCUCUUGCAACCUGCCCAAGUGUCAGCUCCUGUCUCACACUGGCCUGUUGAGGGCCAGCUCAUGCCUCUCGUGGCCUCAACAGGCCCAUCCCCUGCCUGUCGGCGGCCUCUACAGGCCCGGCCUCUACCUCACAGUGGGCUCUCCAGGCCCACCUCUUCCUCACCGUGGCCUCCUGGGGCAAUGCUCCUCCCUCUCGGGAGCCUCUGCGGGCCCAGCUCCUGCCUCCCAGUGGCCUCUGUAGACCAAGCCCGUGCCUCAGGGCAGCCUUUCCAGGCCUAGCGUUUGCUGCUUUGCAUCCUCUCCAGGCCCUGGACUUCCUCCAGUCGGCCUCUCCAGGCCCAGCUCUUCCUCUCGGCGGCCUCUGCAGGGCCAGACUGUCGUCAAGUCGGCCUGUCCAGGGCCAGCUCCUGCCUCCCGGCGGCCUCUGCAGGCCCAAGUCGUUCUCAAGUCGGCUUCCCCAGGCCCAGCUCCGGCCUCUUGGCGGCCUCUCCGGGUGCAAAAGUUCCUCGAGUCAGCCUCUCCAGGCCCAGCUCCUCCUGCCUCCCAGUGGCCUCUUUCGGCCCAGCCCAGCUCAUGCCUCCCGGCGGCCUUCCCAGGCCCCGCUUUUGACUUUCGGUGGCCUCUGCAGGCCUCGACAAGGCCCGGCCUCCUGCCUCCAGAAGGCCUGCACAGGCCCAGCCUCUGCCUCACAGCGGACUCUCCACGCCCAGCUAGCUCUCGCCUCACUGCGGCCUCCCGAGUCCAAAGCUCCUGCCUCUCGGCCGCUUCGGCAGGCCCAGCUCCCGCCUGCCAGUGGCCUCUUCAGGCCCAUGGGGCUCAUUCCUCACAACAGCCUUUCCAGGCCCAGUUUUUCCCUUCCGGCGGCCUCUCCGGGCCCAGAACCUCCUCAAGUCGGCCUCUCCAGACCCACUUGCAGCCUCCCGGCAUCCUCUCCGGGCCCAGCUCUUCCUCCCGGCUGCGUCUCCAGGCCCGACUUUGGCCUCCCAACAACGUCUUUGGACUCAGCUCCUGCCCAGCUCCCAGCGGCCCUGGUAGGCCCACAGCUUCCCGAAGCCAAGCUCCCCAGGCCCAGCUCAGGCCUCACGGUGGCCUCUCCAGGCCAGCUCCUGCCCUCUGAUGGCAUCUGCAGGCCCCAAACGGCCUCCGGUUGGUGGGCUCCUCUAGGCCCAGCUUGGGCCUCCUGGCGGCCUCUGCAGGCCCAAAUCGUCCUGAAGUCGGCCUCUCCAGGCCCAGCUCCGGCCUCCCGGCGGCCUCUGCAGGCCCAAGUCAUCCUCAAGUCAGCCUGGAAUUGGGCCUGGAAGAGAGCAAGUCGGCCUCCCCGGGCCCAGCUCCGGCCUCUUGGCGGCCUCUCCGGGUGCAAAAGUUCCUCGAGUCAGCCUCUCCAGGCCCAGCUCCUCCUGCCUCCCAGUGGCUUCUUUCAGCCCAGCCCAGCUCAUGGCUCUCAGCGGCCUUCCCAGGUCCCGCUUUUGACUUUUGGCGGCCUCUUCAGGCCCAGAACUUGACCUCCAGUCGGCCUUUGCAGGCCCGGCCUCCUGCCUCUCAAAGGCCUGCACGGGCCCGGCCUCGGCCUCGGCCUCACAGCGGACUCUCCACGCCCAGCUAGCUCUCGCCUCACUGUGGCCUCCCCAGUCCAAAGCUCCUGCCUUUCGGCCACUUCAGCAGGUCCAGCUCCUGCCUGCCAGUGGCCUCUUUAGGCCCAGCUCAUUCCUCACAACGGCCUUCCCAGGCCCCGUUUUUCCCUUCCGGCAGCCUCUUGGCCUCUAAUUUGUUUAUCUUUUGUGUAUAAAUCCCAAAAUAUGGAAUUUUGGAAUAUUUCCACCAUUAUAUAUUUUGGUAGGUAAUUUAUUUGGAGUGAGUUUCUGCACCAUGCCAGAAUUUUUUAUUUUAUUUUCCUUAUUAUUUAGUGUUAAACAGGUUUAAUGACGGUCAUGGCAACUUUUUGGCACAGUGAAAAAUAUCGCCCAUGAUCAACGUGUUCUGUUCUGGGGAAGGGGGCAAAGGCAGGGUGAAUCACUUUCUUAAAAAGUAUAGCUCAAGUUGGGAGUGCAGAGGGAAUGGGGAGAAAACCCUCCCGCUGCCUGUGUCGAAGUGUAGGAGCCCCCACCCCCAUACUCACCUGAGUCCAGCCCCUCUGGGGAAAGAAGGGGUGCAUGAACUCCCCCUAGUCCACAGGCACCUCCCUGUGGCCCAAGGCUCUCUUCACACUCCAUCUUGAAGCCCCAGCAGGAGCUAUUUUCCAAAAAGUGAAAAGCUCUGAAGGUCCCACAAUUCAUGGUACAUACAGGGGCUCGGAGGAGGGAAACUGCCCAGCUUUCCCCCGGCACAGCUGCAGGGGUAGGGGGUAUAGAUAAGAGGAGCAGGCCUUGGCCAGGCGUGGUGGCUCACGCCUGUAAUCCCAGCACUUUGGGAGGGGGAGGCAGGCGGAUCAUGAUGUCAGGAGAUCGAAAUCAGCCUGGCCAAGAUGAUGAAGCCCCAUCUGUACUAAAAAUACAAAAAUUAGCCAGACGUGGUAGCGUGCACCUGUAAUCCUAGCUACCCGGAAGGCUGAGGCAGGAGAAUGGCGUGAACCCGGCGGGAAGAGGUUGCAGUGAGCCAAGAUCGCACCACUGCACUCCAACCUGGGCAACAGAGCAAGACUCGGUCUCAAAAAAAAAAAAAAAAAAAAAAGCAGGCCUUGUUCCGUCCCAAACUGAAAGGAUUAAAUGGCUUUACCUGGGAGAAGAUAACCAUCCUGCCCUCCAUUGCUACCCCCACAUACUGUCCAUGUUCUCAGGGGGUACUGUGAGUCCUGGGAUCUUCUUUGGGGUCGCCCACCUGCCUGUGGUAGUUAUGGAGACCCCCAGGUGUUGAGGCAGGGCUGGGGUGUCCCCUUCCAACCAGGCUGUCAAGGCCCCAGCUCUGGGGCAGAGGCAGUGGCAGGGCAGCCAGGGUUGCGCCAGAGCCUGAGCAGGGUGAGGUGGGGUCAGGCAGGGCUGGGAGUCAGGGCAGGGGCAGCAGCAGUGGACCCGCUAUGCACACAUCUUCUUCUCCAAGGUUUGUGUGCAGAACAUCCUGCCCAUGUUGCCCCAGCAGCUUCAGUUGGCACCUGCCCCAGUCCAGCCUCUGGGAACCAUGCAGCGGCUCCCAGUGGCCCUGCACCCACCACCAGCAUCCGUUUCACCUGCAGUUGAAGAUCAGUGAGGUGCCCAGAAGAUCAUGCAGUCAUCAGUCCCACAGAGCAGCCCGCGAGGCUGAGGCUCCUCCCACUGGACCGUCACCCAACUGGCACCACUGCUGCCCCUGCCCCUACUCUCAGCCUGACGUGACUCUCGGGCAGAGACAGUGGUGGGGCAGCCAGGGCAGCGUCAAGAGUCUGAGCCAGGUGAGGUCCGGUCAGGACCCCCACAGGGCUGGGAGUCAGGGCAGGGGCAGAACAAACCUUGGAGGGGAAGAUGUGUGCAUAGUGGGCCUGGUGGGCGGCUGUGGCCUAGUGGACAGGAAGAAGCAGUGGGCCUGGAAGAGCUGCAUGAUCAGGGCCGGCACUGGUCCAGGGCGCGUGCAGUGAAGAGGACAGCACCUUCUCGGUCUCCGGUUCCCUGAGCCUGUCCUCGGCUUCUCCACCUGUACAGGCAAAGGGGAAGCUGUCCCCAUCACACAUGGCACACUUGGGGGUGUUGGGCUUUGGGCUGCAGCUGGAGCAUCUUCUCAUCUUGCAUUUGGGUGUGGUGGGGUCCUCCAGUGUGGGAUCCAUGUCCGUGGGGUUCCCUCUGCCCCGACCCCGAAAGCCCAGUCAGUUUCUCUUCAGGCUCUGCCCCCUGGGUGGCUCAGCCCAGCUCCUGCCUAGGAAAGCCUUAGUGUUGGGAGGGACCCUGAUGACUGAGGAGCCUGGUAGCUCCAGGUCGCCCACACUUUCAGGUCUUUUGCACCAGAAGGUGGCAGGAUCCAUUGGGAGGAAACAGGUCGCCUUGGAAGGUGUCCCUGGGCCCCCAUCCCCAGGGGUAGGGGCCGUAGGGGGCCCGCUCUGCUGCCUUGACCAGACUCCUGGGCUUUGAAGGCUCCUGGGCCCAGUAAGAAGGAGGUGGGUGUCAAGGUUGAGGAGGAAGCAUCCGAGUAUGUGUAGGAGGAGGACAGGGUGGGACCAUAGACUUUGCCAAAAGCUGCAGGUGGAUCGGGGGACCCUGGGGGCUCAGUAUCCAGCAAGGGGCAGCAGGAGUAAAGGAGGAAGGAAUGACAGGUGCAAAUACCUUCCCACCAAAGCCCUUGUUGCCCUCUGGCUCCUCCCCAGAGUUGUCCCCACUCUCAGUCGGUCACCCAGUCCUUGAACUUGAGAUCGGUGUCAGUGGUGCUAAAGCCAUCAUCAGCAAUGACAUCAUCACCCCCUCCUCCUCAUGGAUGACCGUGUGCUCCUCGUCACUCGCUAUGUCCACACUGGCCAUGUGCUGGGAAUGAGCAGCUCAGGUGGGCAGCAGCAGGGCUGCCCACUGGUCACCUCCCUCACCAGGGGCUGCAAAGUGGCCUGGAGCUCCAUACUGAGUAGAAGCCUUUGGGCCAGAGUAUGAUGCAGUGCCAGACACCACCUGUGUCAGUUCCUGUAGUGCCUGACGGUCUAUUUCCCUGCCAUCCAGGCUGUGUACCCCCCUGUGGGUGAAGGCUUGGGCCAGGCUGAGCCAGGUUCCCUGACUGUGUGCAGCCGUUCUGCCCCACAGAAGCUGCUCCUUGGUAUCCGAGCUCUGGAGUGUUUGGGCUGCAACUGACAGGAGUUCAGAGGACACCCCAGGGGCAGUGGCAGUGCCCGUCUCUGAUAUGCUCCGCUCCCACAAGCCCUUGUUACACUCCUGCUAGCCCCUGGCUUGUGGGCUUGGCCUCUGAGCUGGACUUCUUUCGGUCCUUGUUGCAAGUGGGCCACCUUCACCUGGAAGGCCAGGUCGUGGUAUUUCUGCGUCUCAUUGGGCCCCAGGGUGUACCACCGCUCGCUCAGCAUCUGGCUGACGGUCCGGUUAUCCUGGUUGGGGUGACCCUGGUGCGCCCUGCCAGGGCCUGGUGCCGCUUGCUGAAGAUCAUGACCACCACUCAUGGGCCACUGGAUGUGGUCCUUGUCCCAUUUGUUGGGGCUGCGUCCAUCCUUCUCAGAAGAUGAGUCCUGUUCCUUGUGCAGGGCACUGAGGGACUGGGCCUGACAUCAUCUGAGUGGUAGAGGCAACGGGGUGUCAGGAGACAUGAUGGAGAGGAAAGCAUCAUCAUGGUCAUUCUCUGUCUCACUGUCCAGCAGGGACUCCCCUGAGGGGCCCAGGGCUCCUCCUCCAUGGUGGGAGCUGCAGGACAAGUUCGAGCAUCUUAAAAUGAUUCAACAGGAGGAGAUAAGGAAGCUCGAGGAAGAGAAAAAACAACUGGAAAGAGAAAUCAUAGAUUUUUAUAAAAUGAAAGCUGCCUCUGAAGCACUGCAGACUCAGCUGAGCACUGAUACAAAGAAAGACAAACAUCGUAAGAAGCAAUAGUUUCUCUUACUAUUCUGAGAGCCUUAUCAUUCUACAUCCCAUCUUCCUGUGAGAUUGUCUUUGUAGCAUUUAACUCUAAUUGCAGUUCUCAUUUUAAAAAUUGGCUUGCUUAUUGUAUAUUUUCCCCAACUAAAGCGUGAACUCCUAGCAGGGCGUGGUGGCUCAUGCCUGUAAUCUCAGCACUGUGGAAGGCCGAGGUGGGUCGACUACCUGAGGUUAGGAGUUCGAGACCAGCCUGACCAACAUAAUGAAACGCUGUCUCUACUAAAAAUACAAAAAUUAGCUAGGCGUGGUGGCUGGGACCUGUAAUCCCAGCUACUUGGGAGGCUGAGGCAGGAGAAUCACUUGAACCCUGGAGGUGGAGGUUGCAGUGAGCAGAGAUCUCACCAUUACACUCCAGCCUGGGUGACAAGAGCAAAACUCCAUCUCAAAAAAAAAAAAAAAGGUGAACUUGAAGGCAGGUCCUGUGUCCAUCUUUUCAGAUUCUGUAUCCCAGCACUUAGGACAUAGACAAACACGAAGAUGACAAUCAAUAUUUGCCAAAAUGAAAAAACAAAAGAAACGUAACAUCAUGUAAAAGAAGCUGGUUAGGUGGAGAAAUUUCUUUACCAUAGUCUUGCUUGUGGAUCCAGUAGUGACUUUUACAUUUUAUAUCUAAAUAGAAGCUGGAGGCUUUGUUGGGGACUCAUAGGCAUAAAAUAUUAUGCUAUUUAUUAUAGAGUUAAAUGCUACAAAGACAAAUCUAAUUAAUAGGCCUAUUUUCCUUUUUAAAUUCUACUCAUAAUUUCUUCAUAGUUUUUAUGAUAAAAGGUUGGAUUUUGAUUAGAACUCCCAUGCUUUUGUGUCAGAAUUAAAACUGGUAUUAGAAUAAAUAAUUCAAAAGCUAGAGAAAGAGUACAAUGAGAAGCCAUGAGUUGCAUUUGAAUUAUAAUAUUAUGUCUUACAGAUUUGGGGUAUAUACUAAAGUUACCAAGUUGUAGAAAAUCAGGCCGGGCAUUGUGGCUCACAUCUGUAAUUCCAGCACUUUGGGAGGCCGAGGUGGGCGGAUCAUUUGAGGUCAGGAGUUCGAGACCAGCCUGGCCAACAUGGUGAAACUCCGUCUGUACUAAUAGUACAAAAAUUAACCAGGCGUGAUGGUGUGCAUCUGUAGUCCUUGCUACUCAGAAAGCUGAGGCAGGAGAAUCGCUUGUACCCAGGAGGCAGAGGUUGCAGUGAGCAGAGAUUGUGCCACUGCACUCCAGCCUGGGUGACAGAGUGCUAUGAGUCACCACACCUGGUAUGAGCCACCGUGCCUGGCCCACAAUGACUUUUACACAAGUUGUUAAAUCAUCUUACAGAUUUUAUAAUUUGGGGGAAGAAAAGUUUUACUAAAUGGUCUUUUAAUGGAAACUCUACAAGAACCAGAAUCUUUGCUUUGUUCACUUAUGUAUCCAUUCCUAGGCCUAGAAAAAUGUCUGACACAUAGCGGCAAUUAUUCAUUGAAUAAAUGGACCCAGCGAUAGUACAUUAGCUGUGCUAUAUGCAUACAUUAAAGAUGUAGAUUAUUGACUUUCAAAAGAUAAUUAAUGUAACUUCUUACUGCUUCUGAUCAUGUUUGUGAGUUAUAUUGCUGAGGGACCUUUAUCUUCUCAUUCUUUCAUCUUAACCCAGUGUUAUAAAAUUGAAAUCACCAAUAUUAUUCCAUAUCUAAAAUUAAUAUCUACCUUGUAAAAAAUAUCACUCUGCUGCAUUUGAGAAUAGACUUUUUAGGUAAUAAUGAUGCAAUCCGUAGGGUUUUUUGGGGGCACAGGGGGAUUCAUGCUAAUAGAACAUUUUAUUUUGUAUUUUCCCAGAGCUGUAAAACAUGAAAUUAGGGUAGUAUAAGGCAUAUUUUUACUCUUUUUAUAAUUUUUUCUAAAAAAAAUUAGUGUUUGUUCCCUAUAUAACUUUUAACUUUAUAGGUAAAUAUUUGUCUCGUUCAGCUCCAGUUUUAUGUGAAAUAGAGUUUUCAGAUUUAUGUAGCAUGGAAAGUUUUAAUACGUCAGAGUUACUGAUUUUUGCCAAUCAUUUUCUCAAUUAUUUCUUUUUUAUCUUUAGUUGAUUUUUUUGUAGUGACAUUUUGUUUCUAGUCUCAUUUCCUUUUGUUUAUAUUCUAUGUAUAUUUCGUUUUUGGUUACUAUGAGAAUUACAUAUAACAUCCUAGAGUUAUAACAUUUUAAUUUGAAUUUAUUCAACUUAAGUUCAAUCACAUACCAAAAUUCUACUGCUAUAUAUAUAGCUCUACUCUUUUUAUGUUAUUGAUGUAACAAAUUAUAUCUUUAUUCAUUGUAUACCAGCUAACAGAUUUACAAUUACAUUUUAUGCAUUUCCCUUUUAAAUUAUGUAGAAAAUAAAAAGCAGAGUUACAAACCAAAAUUACAAUAGGACUGUUUUUAUAUUUGUUUAUGUAUUUACCUUUACCAGAGAGCUUUGUAUAUUCAUACAGCUUGCUUAUUUACUUUUAUAGUUAUUGCCUAGAGUUCAUUUAUUUCAACCUGAAGGACUUAACACUUCUUGAAUGGCAAAUUCAGGGAUAAAUGGAUUUUUUUCAGUUUUAAAAAAAAAUCCGGAAAUGUCUUAAUUUCUUCCUCAUUUUUGAAGGAUAAGUUUUCCAGCUAUAGAUUUCUCAAUUGACAGGUUUCUUCAUUAUUUUAAAUAUAUAAUCCACUGCCUACUGGCCUUCAAGGUUUCUGCCGAGAAAUCAGCUGCUAAUGUUAUCUGGAUCCCUAUCUGUGAGAGUUGCUCUUCUCUCUGAGUUUUCAACAUUCUCCCAUUAUCUUUUUUGUUUGUUUUUGAGACAAAUAAUUGUACAUAUUCAUGGGAUACAGAGUGAUAUUUUGAUACAUGUAUACAAUGUCCAAUGAUCAAAUAAGGAUAAUUAGCAUAUCCAUCACCUCAAAUAUUUGUCAUUUAUUUGUAUUGUGAACAGUCAACAUUCUUCUAGUUUUUUAAAUUUAUAAACAUUUACAUUUUAUUACAGAAAUUUAAAUUUUUUGAUUCUGAAAAAGUCAUAUAUGUAUGCAACAUCUUUUUAUCAUUUAUUUAUAUGUUUAUGCAUCUUUCCUUUUAGUUUUGACAUUUUCUAUUUUAUCAUUAUUUCAAAAGAACUCUUACCUGUAUUUAUUUAUCAAUUAUAUUUCCCUUGUUUUUUCCUAGUAUAUUAUUUACUUAUCUUCUAAAAAUCCUCCAUAUAAUCUGUUUAUUUUGUUUCCUUUCUAUAAUUUCUUCAAUGAUUAGUUCUGUUCUAUUUUCCAUUAAAAUAUUUAAAUCUUGUAUGAAUUUUUGUCAGAUUAGAAAUUUAGGGCAUUUCUUAAUUUCUCUAUAUUCUAGUUUUGACUUUUUUUUUCUGACCUAAGAGGUAUUUAGAGCACAUUUUAAAUUUUUUAUUUUGACUAAUCAUUUAAAAUGUAUACUAAUCUUCAAUUUAAAUAAAAAACUGGUCUAUAGUGACAAAAAUUACAAAUGAGCCUAACUAAUAAAUUAUCAGCUGUGUUUAUAUGUAUAGGCAUGCACAGAUUUUGGUAAAUAUGUACAUAGUAUAUUGGUGAGCUUAUUUUUAUCAUUCUUAACUCAUUGUGUAGUCUAAACAUUGGGGAAAAAAUAAAAUACAAUAAUCAGAUGGUGUGAAUAAGAAAAUUGUUGUACUGUUUGUAAACCAAGCAACUGUUUUAACUGCUCCCCUCUUCCUGAUUGAGUUCUAAAAGGGAUUAAUCCAUAUUGGGUCCUAUCAUAUAUGUCACGGUAUAACAUCUCCAGCUAUAAAAUGGAAAUUUGAGAAUAACUUUGCUGCUACUCAGAUACAUUUUACUUCAAAAACAUACACUAAGGUGUUGCUGUUGGAUCUUUCCAAAAACAUAUUCACACAGAACUUUCAAUCACACUGAGCCAUAUUUGAACAAUCUUUCAAGGUCAGCUCUGGCAUAAGCUAACAUUAUACCAUUUAACUCAGAAAUUUCUUUAGUAUUUGAUUAAUGGGUUUAUGUUUGAUAUGUAAUGUAAUUUUCUAAUGCUAAAUCAAGUGGUAAUUUUGUUAGUCAAGUUGAUUUAGUGGCUUGGGAAGAAAGCUUUUAAUGUUCCCCUAAUUUUUCUUAACUUUGACAUGAUCCUUCACAUGUCUUAUUUUGCUUAGUGAUUUUUCUUUUUUUUUUUUUUUUGAGACAGGGUCUUACUCUACCACCCAGGCUUGAGUGCAGUGGUGCGAUCACAGCUCAUUGCAGCCUUGACCUCCCAGACUCAAGCUAUUCUUCCACCUCAGCCUCCCAAGUAGCUGGUACUACAGGCACAUGCCACCAAACUUGGCUAAUUUUUGUAUUUUUUGUAGAGACAGAGUUUUGCCAAAUUCUCAGGCUAGUCUGGAAUUUCUGGGCUCAAGUAAUCCUGCCUUGGCCUCCCAACAUGCUGAUAUUACAGACAUAAGCCACAGUACCUGGCCAGUUUUCUUUUUUAAAAAAUCUAUUGGUUAUUAAUUUGAAGCCUUCCUUUUCAUAGCUGUGCUCCUUAAUUGGGAGCAAACAUGAAUGGACCACAACUUAGCCAAUUUUCUAUAUACGAUCUUUGCCAUCCUAAUUUAAAGGAAUAUUAAUUCUUUCUUUUCCUCUUUCAUUCCACAAACCUGUAUUGACUACACCUAAGUUCUAAAUGGUGCACUGGAUGUUGAAAAAGUUGAUGAUGAGCAAGAACAAAAUUCCUCCUUUCAGGAGACUUACAAUUCAAUAUGGGAAAUAUAAUUUGUUAAAAUAUAAAAGUGCAAUUGUGUUACAUGCUGUACGAAGUACAUGUUGACAUGUGAGCAUAUAAUAAAUGGGCUGGAGGCCAGAGGAUUGCCAAAGAGAAUGGGCCUCCUGCUGAGACGAAAAGUUGAGCAGGGAUUAGUUGGCGAAAGUGGAGGGACGAUCCUUUCUAGGCAGGAGGAAGAACAUGUACAGAAUCUCUGAGGUGUGAUGCAACAAAGUCUAUAUAAAAAACUGAAGAAAGGUCUAAUGUGGCUUAAAUACAGAAGCUAGUAGGAGAGGAGUUGAAAAGAGGCUGGAGAAGUAGAAAGUGUCUGCAUUCUGCAGGAACUUAUAUUGUAUAAAAAGAAUUUCUCUUUAUUCUAAGUGCAAUGUGAAGCCAAUGAAGUGCUUUAAACAGGUGAUGUGAUUUGAUUGAAUUUAUUACUUCACUUAACAAAUACUCAUUACAUGCCCACUGUUUGUCAGAGAUUGCUGUAGCCCCUGGUG
This 16760-nucleotide long non-coding RNA is filed under the name Homo sapiens (human). RNAcentral describes it as "non-protein coding lnc-METTL14-3:14". The record is from RNAcentral. Lineage: Eukaryota; Metazoa; Chordata; Mammalia; Primates; Hominidae.